Molecule: non-coding RNA, 85 nt
Organism: Wallemia ichthyophaga EXF-994
Lineage: Eukaryota; Fungi; Basidiomycota; Wallemiomycetes; Wallemiales; Wallemiaceae
Source: the annotation of a RefSeq genome assembly
GCAUUAAUGGGGUAGUGGUAACCUCGAUCGUUGCCAUCUUAGAGAUUGAUUCGAUCGGCCCCCGGUUCAAUUCCGGGUUAAUGCA